UACGAAGGGGGCUAGCGUUGCUCGGAAUCAUUGGGCGUAAAGGGCGCGUAGGCGGCUUUGUAAGUCCGUUGUGAAAUCCCUCGGCUCAACCGAGGAACUGCGACGGAUACUGCUUGGCUUGAGUCCCGGAGAGGGUAGCGGAAUUCCCAGUGUAGCGGUGAAAUGCGUAGAUAUUGGGAGGAACAUCGGUGGCGAAGGCGGCUACCUGGACGGGUACUGACGCUGAGGCGCGAAAGCUAGGGGAGCAAACAGG
Molecule: ribosomal RNA, 253 nt
Filed under: uncultured bacterium
Lineage: Bacteria
Description: partial 16S ribosomal RNA
Rfam family: Bacterial small subunit ribosomal RNA
Source: RNAcentral